RNAcentral lists this long non-coding RNA (878 nucleotides) under Ananas comosus (pineapple). RNAcentral's name for it is "long non-coding RNA (ACOM_LNC038970)". The record is from RNAcentral. Lineage: Eukaryota; Viridiplantae; Streptophyta; Magnoliopsida; Poales; Bromeliaceae.
UAGCGGUUGUUGCAUAUAUACUUCUAUUUCUUUCUUUACAGUUGUCUUGUUACUAUAGUUUUGAUAUCCUUGUAUGCUUGCAGUUGUACAUUACAGUAGCGGUAGUUGUGCUUUCAUAUAUAUAUCUCAUUCGUUCAUUAUCGUUGCUACUGUAUUUUACUUACCCAUACUGUUGUUUAUCUCUUCCUGAUCCGGUGAGUACUCCUCGCCUUCUUCGGCUUGCGGUACCCACUGGGAGGGGAGACAUGUUUACAUAUUCUCACCUCCCCCACUAUUUUUCAGGUACUGCAGACGUUGAGUUUUGGGACGAGACGUGAGGUACGUUCGUAGCGGUCGAUAGAGCUUCCGAUCCAGGUUAUCGGUUUAGUUUUAUCCCUACUAUUCUGUUGUUAUAGCUUAGUCAGUUUAUAUGGUUCAGUAUUUUUAUUACAUUGGAAAAUGUGGAUUUCUGGAUUUUGUAAAAUAAAAGGUUUUCUACCUCUCGUGGUAGCGUUUUUAAAAGAAUAAAGGUUUCUGUGUAGGAAACAGCUUUCAAAAGGUUUUCGUGAAUUUAUAUUUAAACACUGAAUGUAAAACUGUUAUGUGAAUGCAUGAAUGUAUAGUUAUCUUUAUAUUCAUUUGGUUGUGGUUGUUUCCUGGCUAUACUCUUGUACUUGUGUGACGCCGUGCAAGUACAGGGGAGACUCUGUCCGUGUGAACAGUGGAUUUCCUGUAUUUGUGGCGGAUCUGGCAUACUCUGGGGUUAGGUUUAAAAAAAAAAAAAAAAAAAAAAAAUUCAAACGCCUUUCCGCUGUAUUUCAAACAAAAAGGGGACCCCGGGGCGUGACAUCUAAUUUUGCAAAUAUUUUUCUAGAAUUUAUUUUUAUAAUUAUAAUACU